RNAcentral lists this ribosomal RNA (1253 nucleotides) under Salmonella enterica. Its description in RNAcentral is "partial 23S ribosomal RNA". It matches the Rfam family "Bacterial large subunit ribosomal RNA", at positions 1186 to 2421 of the family's 2925-position model. The record is from RNAcentral. Lineage: Bacteria; Pseudomonadati; Pseudomonadota; Gammaproteobacteria; Enterobacterales; Enterobacteriaceae.
ACCAUGCACCGAAGCUGCGGCAGCGACACUGUGUGUUGUUGGGUAGGGGAGCGUUCUGUAAGCCUGUGAAGGUGUGUCGUGAGGCAUGCUGGAGGUAUCAGAAGUGCGAAUGCUGACAUAAGUAACGAUAAAGCGGGUGAAAAGCCCGCUCGCCGGAAGACCAAGGGUUCCUGUCCAACGUUAAUCGGGGCAGGGUGAGUCGACCCCUAAGGCGAGGCCGAAAGGCGUAGUCGAUGGGAAACGGGUUAAUAUUCCCGUACUUGGUGUUACUGCGAAGGGGGGACGGAGAAGGCUAUGUUGGCCGGGCGACGGUUGUCCCGGUUUAAGUGUGUAGGUGUGUGUUCCAGGUAAAUCCGGUUCACUUUAACACUGAGGCGUGACGACGAGGCACUACGGUGCUGAAGCAACAAAUGCCCUGCUUCCAGGAAAAGCCUCUAAGCAUCAGGUAACAUCAAAUCGUACCCCAAACCGACACAGGUGGUCAGGUAGAGAAUACCAAGGCGCUUGAGAGAACUCGGGUGAAGGAACUAGGCAAAAUGGUGCCGUAACUUCGGGAGAAGGCACGCUGACACGUAGGUGAAGUGAUUUACUCAUGGAGCUGAAGUCAGUCGAAGAUACCAGCUGGCUGCAACUGUUUAUUAAAAACACAGCACUGUGCAAACACGAAAGUGGACGUAUACGGUGUGACGCCUGCCCGGUGCCGGAAGGUUAAUUGAUGGGGUCAGCGCAAGCGAAGCUCCUGAUCGAAGCCCCGGUAAACGGCGGCCGUAACUAUAACGGUCCUAAGGUAGCGAAAUUCCUUGUCGGGUAAGUUCCGACCUGCACGAAUGGCGUAAUGAUGGCCAGGCUGUCUCCACCCGAGACUCAGUGAAAUUGAACUCGCUGUGAAGAUGCAGUGUACCCGCGGCAAGACGGAAAGACCCCGUGAACCUUUACUAUAGCUUGACACUGAACAUUGAGCCUUGAUGUGUAGGAUAGGUGGGAGGCUUUGAAGUGUGGACGCCAGUCUGCAUGGAGCCGACCUUGAAAUACCACCCUUUAAUGUUUGAUGUUCUAACGUGGACCCGUUACCCGGGUUGCGGACAGUGUCUGGUGGGUAGUUUGACUGGGGCGGUCUCCUCCUAAAGAGUAACGGAGGAGCACGAAGGUUGGCUAAUCCUGGUCGGACAUCAGGAGGUUAGUGCAAUGGCAUAAGCCAGCUUGACUGCGAGCGUGACGGCGCGAGCAGGUGCGAAAGCAGGUCAUAGUGAUCC